This 253-nucleotide ribosomal RNA is filed under the name uncultured bacterium. RNAcentral's name for it is "partial 16S ribosomal RNA". It matches the Rfam family "Bacterial small subunit ribosomal RNA", at positions 524 to 776 of the family's 1533-position model. The record is from RNAcentral.
UACAGAGGGUGCGAGCGUUAAUCGGAAUUACUGGGCGUAAAGCGUGCGUAGACGGUUGCGUAAGUCGGAUGUGAAAUCCCCGGGCUCAACCUGGGAAUUGCAGUGGAUACUGGGGAGCUAGAGUGCGGUAGAGGGUAGUGGAAUUCCCGGUGUAGCGGUGAAAUGCGUAGAGAUCGGGAGGAACACCAGUGGCGAAGGCGGCUACCUGGACCAGCACUGACACUGGGGCACGAAAGCGUGGGGAGCAAACAGG